Molecule: ribosomal RNA, 504 nt
Filed under: uncultured bacterium
Lineage: Bacteria
Description: partial 16S ribosomal RNA
Rfam family: Bacterial small subunit ribosomal RNA
Source: RNAcentral
AUUGAACGCUGGCGGCACGCCUUACACAUGCAAGUCGAACGGCAGCAUGGAGAGCUUGCUCUCUGAUGGCGAGUGGCGAACGGGUGAGUAAAGCAUCGGAACGUACCGUGUAGUGGGGGAUAACGUAGCGAAAGUUACGCUAAUACCGCAUACGCACUGAGGUGGAAAGCAGGGGAUCGUAAGACCUUGCGCGGUACGAGCGGCCGAUGUCAGAUUAGCUGGUUGGCGGGGUAAAGGCCUACCAAGGCGACGAUCUGUAGCGGGUCUGAGAGGAUGGUCGGCCACACUGGGACUGAGACACGGCCCAGACUCCUACGGGAGGCAGCAGUGGGGAAUUUUGGACAAUGGGGGCAGCCCUGAUCCAGCCAUGCGGCGUGAGUGAAGAAGGCCUUCGGGUUGUAAAGCUCUUUCGGCCGGGAAGAAGUCGCACAGGCUAAUACCCUGUGUGGAUGACGGUACCGGCAUAAGAAGCACCGGCUAACUACGUGCCAGCAGCCGCCGCCG